UGACAUUUCGAUGACAUACUAAACUAUGACGUACUUGGUGACAUUUUGGACGACAUACUACACUAUGAUGUUUUUUCAACAUUUUGGACCACAUACACCAACUAUGAAGUUUUUGGUGACAUUUUAGACGACAUACUAAACGAUGAUGUAUUUGGUGACAUUUGGACAAAAUACUAAAGUAUGACAUUUUUCCACAUUUUGGAUGACAUACUAAACUAUGACGUUUUUGUGACAUUUUGGAUGACAUACUAAACUAUGAUGUUUUUUCAACAUUUUGGACCACAUUCACCAACUAUGAAGUUUUUGGUGACAUUUUAGACGACAUACUAAACUAUGACAUUUUAUGUGAUAUUUUGGACGACAUACUAAACUAUGACGUUUUUGGUGAUAUUUUGGACGACAUACUAAACUAUGACGUAUUUGGUGACAUUUCGACGACAUACUAAACUAUGACGUACUUGGUGACAUUUUGGACGACAUACUACACUAUGAUGUUUUUUCAACAUUUUGGACCACAUACACCAACUAUGAAGGUUUUGGUCACAUUUUAGACGACAUACUAAACUAUGACG
Molecule: long non-coding RNA, 572 nt
Organism: Acanthochromis polyacanthus (spiny chromis)
Lineage: Eukaryota; Metazoa; Chordata; Actinopteri; Pomacentridae
Exons: 3
Source: RefSeq, a predicted model, not a curated record